Molecule: long non-coding RNA, 1672 nt
Filed under: Arabidopsis thaliana (thale cress)
Lineage: Eukaryota; Viridiplantae; Streptophyta; Magnoliopsida; Brassicales; Brassicaceae
Description: ncRNA (AT4G31248)
Source: RNAcentral
CGAGAAUUAGAUGAAGAAUAAGACUAGUGGAAAGACCAGAGAGAGAUACAGGCCUUUCAAUGGAAGCUAUUACAUGAGUGAGAACUCCUCAGUCAUAGCUCUUGAAGAACGAUGAUCACCAUCACUAGCAGUCACGUAUGAAGAUCGAACACUCUCUUGACCUCCACCAGCAUCUCUAUCAACCUCUUCUAUUCGAUCAACAGCCUCAUGAAGCUCAAUUCUCUUCUCAAUAUCCCAAUCACAACAUCUCAACCCGAUCUUAAGCAGCUUCAACAUUUGUGCUUCGUGCUCUUUCCCUGCUUUCAUCUCCUUAUCAAACACAUCAGCAGUCCACUCGGUUCUCGCUACAGACUCAACCCAAGCAGCUAACUCAUCAUCAGCUCCUUUCCCUUGCCUGAGAUAAUUCGCCGGAAACUUCCCUGUCAGAAUCUCAAGAAUCAAGAUUCCCAGGCUCCACACAUCUGAUCUUCUCGAAGUCCUAUCCUGCUGAGUGAACUCAGGUGCCUUGUAAGCCACCAUGAACUGCUGUGAUUGAUCUCUGUUAACAACCGGGACAAGAGCGUAGUCCGUAAGUAGAGGCUCGAAGUUAGGAUCAAGCAACACAUUGGAAGACUUGAGAUGGCCAUGAGGAAGAUUCAAAUCAGGGAACACUCUAUAGAGAUAAGCCAAUCCUCUCGUAACUCCUCUUACAAUCUUCAAUCGAAUCGGCCAAUCCAAAACCACUUGACCUGGUGUUCGGUUAGCUGCAAAAUCAAUCCAACAAAACUCAUCAGAUUCCUCAUUUCAUUGGAUGAAGAUAAACAGACACUUAGAGAGUUCCAUAAUAUUACCAUGGAGGAGAUUAGCGAGGCUUCCAUUGGAAAUGUAAUUGGUAACGAGAAGCUUCUCUUCUUUUCUGUAAUAGAAUGCAAUCAACGGAAGGAGAUUAGGGUGAGACAAUCGUCCGAUCUUCUUCAUAUGAUCGUAAAACUCUUCUCUCCCGAUAUUACUCAUAAACCUAAACCGUUUCACAACCACCGCACGACCACUCGAUAAAGCCGCUUUGUACGAAGAUCCAAAUCCGCCGCUUCCGAGAACCUCCGCCGAUGCACGGAGCAUAUCCUGAAGCGUGAACCUCUCCUGAUCAUUCCUAACGAAAUGUAGCUUCCGUUGAUCUCCUCGUUUGUCUUCAUCUGGAGAGAGACCUCCCACGGAUAUAGCUCCUGAUGUUGCUGUUGAAUCUCGCUGCACAGUUUCAUUAGCUAGUUUUCUGUAGACCUUGGAGUCCUGUGAGCUCUUUUCACUGUGUUGUUGUUGCUCGGGUUGUCCGUAGACUUGUCCGUGAAAAUGGCCGACGCCGUGGUUUUGGAUUUGGUCUUGUCCUUUGCCUUGACGGCGGCUGAGAAUGCAAACGGAAAGAAAGACGGUAAUGAGCACUACGACGGCGAGGAUGGUGAGGGCAAGGAGAAACACGGUGAAGAACGGCGGACGAGUGUAUCUGCACGGAAGCAAUGGCGCUCCACACAGCCCCUUGUUACCUGUUUUAAGGCCCAAACGAAUUAUUUAAUUAACAUCAUACAUGGCCCAUUUAUCAAUAGGCCCACUAAUAAUCAUUUCAAAGAGAGUAUUUUCCACAAAUAUUUUGUCAAAAGAAGAAAUAAAAUUUCAUAUUGUAACUUUUACAUGCAAACAU